RNAcentral lists this unclassified non-coding RNA (253 nucleotides) under uncultured Parcubacteria group bacterium. RNAcentral's name for it is "contains 16S-23S intergenic spacer region". It matches the Rfam family "Bacterial small subunit ribosomal RNA", at positions 524 to 776 of the family's 1533-position model. The record is from RNAcentral.
UACAGAGGCCCCAAGCGUUAUCCGGAAUUAUUGGGCGUAAAGGGUGUGUAGGUGGUCAUAUUAGUCUCAUGUUAAAUUCUCAAGCUCAACUUGAGGUCUGCAUGGGAAACGGUAUGACUAGAGGAUGCGAGAGGUGUACGGAACUCAUGGAGUAGGGGUGAAAUCCGUUGAUAUCAUGGGGAACACCAAAAGCGAAGGCAGUACACUGGCGUACUCCUGACACUGAGACACGAAAGCUAGGGUAGCGAACGGG